Molecule: ribosomal RNA, 450 nt
Filed under: uncultured bacterium
Lineage: Bacteria
Description: partial 16S ribosomal RNA
Rfam family: Bacterial small subunit ribosomal RNA
Source: RNAcentral
GUGGGGAAUUUUGGACAAUGGGGGCAACCCUGAUCCAGCCAUUCCGCGUGAGUGAAGAAGGCCUUCGGGUUGUAAAGCUCUUUCGUCAGGAACGAAACGGCGGGCUCUAACAUAGCCUGUUAAUGACGGUACCUGAAGAAGAAGCACCGGCUAACUACGUGCCAGCAGCCGCGGUAAUACGUAGGGUGCGAGCGUUAAUCGGAAUUACUGGGCGUAAAGCGUGCGCAGGCGGAUUGUUAAGCAAGACGUGAAAUCCCCGGGCUUAACCUGGGAAUGGCGUUUUGAACUGGCAGUCUAGAGUGCGUCAGAUGGGGGUGGAAUUCCACGUGUAGCAGUGAAAUGCGUAGAGAUGUGGAGGAACACCGAUGGCGAAGGCAGCCCCCUGGGAUGACACUGACGCUCAUGUACGAAAGCGUGGGUAGCAAACAGGAUUAGAAACCCCAGUAGUCC